CGCGUAGGUGGUUGUUUAAGGUUGAUGUGAAAUCCCUGGGCUUAACCUAGGAACUGCAUCGAUGACUGAAGAGCUGGAGUACUGUAGAGGGUAGUGGAAUUUCCGGUGUAGCGGUGAAAUGCGUAGAGAUCGGAAGGAACACCAGUGGUGAAGGCGGCUACCUGGACAGAUACUGACACUGAGGCGCGAGAGCGUGGGUAGCAAACA
This 207-nucleotide ribosomal RNA is filed under the name uncultured bacterium. RNAcentral's name for it is "partial 16S ribosomal RNA". It matches the Rfam family "Bacterial small subunit ribosomal RNA", at positions 568 to 774 of the family's 1533-position model. The record is from RNAcentral.